Molecule: small RNA, 208 nt
Filed under: Variibacter gotjawalensis
Lineage: Bacteria; Pseudomonadati; Pseudomonadota; Alphaproteobacteria; Hyphomicrobiales; Nitrobacteraceae
Description: Bradyrhizobiaceae sRNA BjrC174
Rfam family: Bradyrhizobiaceae sRNA BjrC174
Source: Rfam by way of RNAcentral
AUCACGAGGACGUGCAUCAGAAAUCACAUUGCGGCCCGAUUUGCGCCGCUGGCGCGCCGCCGGUCCCGUGCAUAUAUCGCGGAUAGGGCCCGGCUCGGCGAGACCCGGAUUCCUCAGCCCCCCAAGCCCCCUGGGUAUUGUACGGGUCGGGUCCUACUUCCAGAAAACUGUCUGACGACUCAUAGCCAGUGCCCAAGCGCUGGCUUUU